RNAcentral lists this ribosomal RNA (433 nucleotides) under uncultured bacterium. RNAcentral describes it as "partial 16S ribosomal RNA". It matches the Rfam family "Bacterial small subunit ribosomal RNA", at positions 29 to 507 of the family's 1533-position model. The record is from RNAcentral.
AACGAACGCUGGCGGCAUGCCUAACACAUGCAAGUCGAACGAGACCUUCGGGUCUAGUGGCGCACGGGUGCGUAACGCGUGGGAACCUGCCCUUAGGGUCGGAAUAACUCCCCGAAAGGGGUGCUAAUACCGGAUAAUGUCUUCGGACCAAAGAUUUAUCGCCUUUGGAUGGGCCCGCGUUGGAUUAGCUAGUGGGUAGGGUAAAAGCCUACCAAGGCGACGAUCCAUAGCUGGUCUGAGAGGAUGAUCAGCCACACUGGGACUGAGACACGGCCCAGACUCCUACGGGAGGCAGCAGUGCGUAAUAUUGGACCAUGGGCGAAAGCCUGAUCCAGCACUGCCGGGUGAGUGAUGAAGGCCUUAGGGUUGUAAAGCUCUUUUACCCGGGAUGAUAAUGACGGUACCGGGAGAAUAAGCUCCGGCUAACUCCGUG